GCAGCAGCCGCGGGAAUACGUAGGGUGCGAGCGUUAAUCGGAAUUACUGGGCGUAAAGCGUGCGCAGGCGGUUAUGUAAGACAGAUGUGAAAUCCCCGGGCUCAACCUGGGACCUGCAUUUGUGACUGUAUAGCUAGAGUACGGUAGAGGGGGAUGGAAUUCCGCGUGUAGCAGUGAAAUGCGUAGAUAUGCGGAGGAACACCGAUGGCGAAGGCAAUCCCCUGGGCCUGCACUGACGCUCAUGCACGAAAGCGUGGGGAGCAAACAGGAUUAGAUACCCCAGUAGUCCCUGUCUCUUAUAC
RNAcentral lists this ribosomal RNA (302 nucleotides) under uncultured bacterium. RNAcentral's name for it is "partial 16S ribosomal RNA". It matches the Rfam family "Bacterial small subunit ribosomal RNA", at positions 508 to 807 of the family's 1533-position model. The record is from RNAcentral.